This 946-nucleotide non-coding RNA is filed under the name Dissostichus eleginoides (Patagonian toothfish). Its description in RNAcentral is "12S ribosomal RNA". It matches the Rfam family "Bacterial small subunit ribosomal RNA". Lineage: Eukaryota; Metazoa; Chordata; Actinopteri; Perciformes; Nototheniidae. The record is from RNAcentral.
CAAAGGCUUGGUCCUGACUUUAUUAUCAGCUUUAGCCGAACUUACACAUGCAAGUAUCCGCACCCCUGUGAGAAUGCCCUCAGUUCCCUGCCUGGGAACAAGGAGCUGGUAUCAGGCACAAUUUAAGCCCAUGACACCUUGUUUAGCCACACCCUUAAGGGAACUCAGCAGUGAUAGAUAUUAAGCCAUAAGUGAAAACUUGACUUAGUAAAAGCUAAGAGGGCCGGUAAAACUCGUGCCAGCCACCGCGGUUAUACGAGAGGCCCAAGUUGAUUACUUACGGCGUAAAGAGUGGUUAGGGAGGAAUCAGUACUAAAGCCGAAUGUUUUCAAGGCUGUUGUACGCACCCGAAAACGAGAAGUUCAACCACGAAAGUGGCUUUAUUAAACCCUGAACCCACGAAAGCUAGGGAACAAACUGGGAUUAGAGACCCCACUAUGCCUAGCCGUAAACAUUGAUAGAUUAACACAACCCCUAUCCGCCCGGGAACUACGAGCACCAGCUUAAAACCCAAAGGACUUGGCGGUGCUUUAGAUCCUACUAGAGGAGCCUGUUCUAGAACCGAUACCCCCCGUUCAACCUCACCCUUCCUUGUUUUUCCCGCCUAUAUACCGCCGUCGUCAGCCCACCCUGUGAAGGUUUAAAAGUAGGCUAGAUUGGCAUAGCCCAGAACGUCAGGCCGAGGUGUAGCGUAUGGAGGGGGAAGAAAUGGGCUACAUUCCCUAUUUUAGGGCAAAACGAAUGAUAUGCUGAAACGCACAUCUUGAAGGAGGAUUUAGCAGUAAGUAGGAAGUAGAGCAUCCUACUGAAAUUGGCUCUGAAGCGCGCACAUACCGCCCGUCACUCUCCCCAAAAAAUACCACCCUAAUUAUAUAAAACCUUAGACCAAUAAAGGGGAGGCAAGUCGUAACAUGGUAAGUGUACCUGAAGGUGCACUUGGAUUACA